Molecule: ribosomal RNA, 560 nt
Filed under: uncultured Basidiomycota
Lineage: Eukaryota; Fungi; Basidiomycota
Description: LSU rRNA
Rfam family: Eukaryotic large subunit ribosomal RNA
Source: RNAcentral
CCUCAAAUCAGGUAGGACUACCCGCUGAACUUAAGCAUAUCAAUAAGCGGAGGAAAAGAAACUAACAAGGAUUCCCCUAGUAACUGCGAGUGAAGCGGGAAAAGCUCAAAUUUAAAAUCUGGCGGCUUCGCCGUCCGAGUUGUAAUCUGGAGAAGCGUUUUCCGUGUUGGACCGUGUACAAGUCUCCUGGAACGGAGCGUCGUAGAGGGUGAGAAUCCCGUCUUUGACACGGACAACCGGGGCUAUGUGAUACGCUCUCGAAGAGUCGAGUUGUUUGGGAAUGCAGCUCAAAAUGGGUGGUGAACUCCAUCUAAAGCUAAAUAUUGGCGAGAGACCGAUAGCGAACAAGUACCGUGAGGGAAAGAUGAAAAGCACUUUGGAAAGAGAGUGAAACAGUACGUGAAAUUGCUGAAAGGGAAACGCUUGAAGUCAGUCGCGUCCUUCGGAAUUCAGCCCCCGUGGUGUACUUUCCGUCGGACGGGCCAGCAUCACUUUCGACCGCCGGAAAAAGGCGGGGGGAAAUGUGGCACCUUCGGGGUGUGUUAUGACCCCUCGUGUUA